GACGAACGCUGGCGGCGUGCCUAAUACAUGCAAGUAGAACGCUGAAGGAGGAGCUCGCUUCUCUGGAUGAGUUGCGAACGGGUGAGUAACGCGUAGGUAACCUGCCUGGUAGCGGGGGAUAACUAUUGGAAACGAUAGCUAAUACCGCAUAAUAGUAGAUGUUGCAUGACAUUUGCUUAAAAGGUGCAAUUGCAUCACUACCAGAUGGACCUGCGUUGUAUUAGCUAGUUGGUGGGGUAACGGCUCACCAAGGCGACGAUACAUAGCCGACCUGAGAGGGUGAUCGGCCACACUGGGACUGAGACACGGCCCAGACUCCUACGGGAGGCAGCGGUAGGGAAUCUUCGGCAAUGGACGGAAGUCUGACCGAGCAACGCCGCGUGAGUGAAGAAGGUUUUCGGAUCGUAAAGCUCUGUUGUAAGAGAAGAACGAGUGUGAGAGUGGAAAGUUCACACUGUGACGGUAUCUUACCAGAAAGGGACGGCUAACUACGUG
RNAcentral lists this ribosomal RNA (495 nucleotides) under uncultured bacterium. RNAcentral describes it as "partial 16S ribosomal RNA". It matches the Rfam family "Bacterial small subunit ribosomal RNA", at positions 28 to 507 of the family's 1533-position model. The record is from RNAcentral.